GGCCACAUUACGACGAAACACCGGUUUUCGUACGAUCACUGAAGUUAAGCAGUGUCAAGCCUUGUCAGUACCUGGAUGGGUGACCGCUUGGGGAUAACAGGUGCAGUC
Non-coding RNA from Acanthosepion pharaonis, 108 nucleotides. The record is from the annotation of a GenBank genome assembly. Lineage: Eukaryota; Metazoa; Mollusca; Cephalopoda; Sepiida; Sepiidae.